Molecule: long non-coding RNA, 813 nt
Filed under: Homo sapiens (human)
Lineage: Eukaryota; Metazoa; Chordata; Mammalia; Primates; Hominidae
Description: HSALNT0380615
Source: RNAcentral
UAAAGAGGCUGACCUUGACAAUGACUUUGUGUGUUUCAGUAAAGCAUUGACCUGCUGGAAAUGGAGACCCCCGCGCUAAUAAAUCAAGCACAUUUAAAAUGAGUUACCCUAAUGCUCAUUCAUCACAGCUGUAAUGCCAUUUGCAGCAGAGGAUUCGCCGUCCUGCGCAAACACUGCAGUAAAUAAUAACACUUGAACAUCUCUGCAUCAUUGCAGGUUCCAACACCACAAGCAUACGCUUAUUAAGGAGCCUUUAUUAGACAGCGUAUUCUCACCUAACAGGCCAGAUCAUGGCAAAAAGCAAGACAAGCAACCCCAGACAAAGAAUAUUGCCAAUGCCAGUGCUGACUCAAAGAACACGCAACAGAUGAAUGGUUUCGUGACUGGUGCAGCUACUUCCUUCAUCCCCAAGGACAGAACGGCCUCUUCCCUGUGUGGCUGCACUGGAAGGAGAAGACAAUCUGUUGCUAAAUACCUCAGAAUAAGGCCACACAUUAAUGUUCCCUCUUUCACAUACUACAAAUAAUUCAGAGACUUUUCCUAUUUUCUUGUUUCAGAUACAACUAGAGACAAACAAAAACACAGAGGAAAUGCUGCUGGAUACUAUUAAAGUGAGCAUCGUAAACAUUAUUUCAAGAGGUUUCCGAAAAGGAUCUCUAAAAUUAUCAGAGAAUUCACAAUUCAAGAGUACCUAACGAAGAAGAAGGGAAAUUAAUCCUUCAUAUGGCUCAAGUGUAAGUAUUUGUUGGAAUAUUACUGCCUAUUACUAUAAAAAUCAUGAUUCUUUGAGUGCCUACUAUGUGCCAAGUAACA